UAAUACCUGAUAAGCCCACGAAGACUUCGGUUUUGCGGGAAAAGAGGGGGACCUUCGGGCCUCUUGUCAUCAGAUGAGUCCGCGUACCAUUAGCUAGUUGGUGGGGUAAAGGCCUACCAAGGCGACGAUGGUUAGCUGGUCUGAGAGGAUGAUCAGCCACACUGGAACUGAGACACGGUCCAGACUCCUACGGGAGGCAGCAGUGGGGAAUUUUGCGCAAUGGGGGAAACCCUGACGCAGCAACGCCGCGUGAGUGAUGAAGGCCUUCGGGUCGUAAAGCUCUGUCUAGAGGAAAGAAGUGUGGGGCGGCUAAUACCCGUUUCACUUGACGGUACCUCUGAAGGAAGCACCGGCUAACUCCGUGCCAGCAGCCGCGGUAAUACGGAGGGUGCGAGCGUUGUUCGGAAUUAUUGGGCGUAAAGCGCGUGUAGGCGGUUUCUUAAGUCUGAUGUGAAAGCCCCGGGCCUAACCUGGGAAGUGCAUUGGAUACUGGGAGACUUGAGUACGGGAGAGGGUAGUGGAAUUCCUAGUGUAGGAGUGAAAUCCGUAGAUAUUAGGAGGAACACCGGUGGCGAAGGCGGCUGCCUGGACCGAUACUGACGCUGAGACGCGAAAGCGUGGGUAGCAAACAGGAUUAGAUACCCUGGUAGUCCACGCCGUAAACGAUGAGUACUAGGUGUUGCGGGUA
This 688-nucleotide ribosomal RNA is filed under the name uncultured Geobacter sp. Its description in RNAcentral is "bacterial SSU rRNA". It matches the Rfam family "Bacterial small subunit ribosomal RNA", at positions 164 to 831 of the family's 1533-position model. The record is from RNAcentral. Lineage: Bacteria; Pseudomonadati; Thermodesulfobacteriota; Desulfuromonadia; Geobacterales; Geobacteraceae.